This 70-nucleotide transfer RNA is filed under the name Dipodomys ordii (Ord's kangaroo rat). It matches the Rfam family "tRNA". Rfam says of the family: Transfer RNA (tRNA) molecules are approximately 80 nucleotides in length. Lineage: Eukaryota; Metazoa; Chordata; Mammalia; Rodentia; Heteromyidae. The record is from Rfam by way of RNAcentral.
GGGAAGGUGGCUCAGUGGUAGAGUGCUUGCUUGGCAUGCAUGAGGCCCUAGGUUUGAUUCCUCAGUACCA